RNAcentral lists this ribosomal RNA (403 nucleotides) under uncultured bacterium. RNAcentral describes it as "bacterial SSU rRNA". It matches the Rfam family "Bacterial small subunit ribosomal RNA", at positions 356 to 775 of the family's 1533-position model. The record is from RNAcentral.
GGGGAAUAUUGGACAAUGGGCGAAAGCCUGAUCCAGCCAUGCCGCGUGAGUGACGAAGGCCUUAGGGUUGUAAAGCUCUUUUGGCGGGGAAGAUAAUGACGGUACCCGCAGAAUAAGCUCCGGCUAACUUCGUGCCAGCAGCCGCGGUAAUACGAAGGGAGCUAGCGUUGUUCGGAAUCACUGGGCGUAAAGCGCACGUAGGCGGAUUUGUCAGUCAGGGGGUGAAAUCCCGGGGCUCAACCUCGGAACUGCCUUUGAUACAGCAAGUCUUGAGUUCGAGAGAGGUGGGUGGAAUUCCUAGUGUAGAGGUGAAAUUCGUAGAUAUUAGGAAGAACACCGGUGGCGAAGGCGGCCCACUGGCUCGAUACUGACGCUGAGGUGCGAAAGCGUGGGGAGCAAACAG